UACAGAGGUUUCAAGCGUUGUUCGGAUUCAUUGGGCGUAAAGGGUGCGUAGGUGGCGCGCUAAGUCAGGUGUGAAAUUUCGGAGCUUAACUCCGAAACUGCAUUUGAUACUGGCGUGCUUGAGGACUGGAGAGGAGACUGGAAUUCAUGGUGUAGCAGUGAAAUGCGUAGAGAUCAUGAGGAAGACCAGUGGCGAAGGCGGGUCUCUGGACAGUUCCUGACACUGAGGCACGAAGGCCAGGGGAGCAAACGGG
Molecule: ribosomal RNA, 253 nt
Filed under: uncultured bacterium
Lineage: Bacteria
Description: partial 16S ribosomal RNA
Rfam family: Bacterial small subunit ribosomal RNA
Source: RNAcentral